This 2406-nucleotide small RNA is filed under the name Rattus norvegicus (Norway rat). Its description in RNAcentral is "uncharacterized LOC102555625". The record is from RNAcentral. Lineage: Eukaryota; Metazoa; Chordata; Mammalia; Rodentia; Muridae.
ACCUCUGGAAGAGCAGUCAGCGCUCCUAGUUGCUGAGCCAUCUUUGUAUAUAGACAGAUAAAUGCUUGUCUUGUAGAGUUAAAAUACGAAGCCGGGUAGUUGCUGGGGAAAGAGAGUGAAAAGCCUGCUAAUCUGUCUUCUAUAGCAGAGGCCCCAGGGGGUGGGUUGUUGUUUGUUUGUUUGCUUCCUUUUGUUUGUUUGUUUCCAUGCCUACAAUCAGCCAAUGAGUGGUCCUGUUGCUCCAGCCCUCCACAGCACUGGCUGCUAUUAGAGUUCCUGAUCAUUUGCAAAGCAUCAAUGGCAGAGGUAAAGAAUAAAUCCUAUCGGUCCAUUUCCACCAUGAGAUGUGUUUAGAGCUCACUGGAGAAUCACAAAGAAGCAGGAGGCGGUAGCUUCCUGUCUUCCCUCGCUGGAGGAUGGAGCUUGCUCAUUGACGCCGUCUCAAUUCAUCCUGGGGUUUGCAAAGUUCCAGUCAGUCUGCUGUGUUGCUGAGCCCAUGUAUCAGAAAGAGAGGGAAUCUCAGGCUCCAGGAUGUACUUUAGGGGUUGGGAGUAUGCUGACUGGGAGAGUGCUUACCCAGCAUGCACUGAGCCCUGGGCGUGGUCCUCAGCAGUAAAUACAGGAGGUGUGGUGAGUAUGCCUGUCACACUAGCACUCAGGAAAAUGGAAGCAGAUAAAUCAGGUCAAGAUUAUCUUUGGCUGCAUAGGGAAGCUGAGGCCAGCCUGGGCUACAUGAGGUCUGUUUUUUGGGGGUUUUUUGUUUGUUUAUUUUUGUUUCUUAAAGAAGAAAGCAGAGAAAGGCCUUCCUACUGACGAAGCAUUUGCCACAUAGGCCCCUUUCAGCACCUUCUUUUUCACUUCCCACUUCCUUCUUGGCACUCAGCUGUUCUAGGUAGAAUGAGGGUUGGAGAGAGAAAGCCAGGUUCUGAUGAGCAAUGGGGGUUUCUCUUCCUCCCUGCCUUCUUGGCAGGGUUAUUGAGUAUCCAGUGAGUACAGGGCCUGGAGCUGAUGUGGGGAUCAGAAAAGAUAUCUCCUCAUGCUAGAGGCAACACAGAGCAGGCCACAAGGGAGGUCUCCAAGGGAGGAGGAUUUAGGUUGCGACUUGGAGGAACCGGGGAGGUGGCUCAGUAGUAGAAGCUCUGAGGCAAGCAGCAGGCACGAGGACCAGAGUUUGGAUUCCCAGAGCCCAUGUAAACGAAGGAUGAGCCUAUCUGUCCUGAUAUUCAGAAAGUAGAGACAGGAAAUGCCCCAGAGAAAGAUGCAGGCUAGGCAAGGCUGUACCAGUGAGCCCUGGGUUCACGUGAGAGGCCCCACCUUGACAGAAAAAAUGGAGAGUAACAGAGGGAGAGGCCCAAUAUCCUUAGCCCUCCACAUGCAAGUGUCGAAGGGCUGACAGGGCCUUCUGCAGCCUUGGCCAUCUCUGCAAGGACAUCCGAGGUGAUCAGCUGGGAAGGAACCUACAUCAUGGCCCUCCAUAGCUAUCUCAGGAAGAAGGAAAUCUUCAAGAAGAACAGGGGCAAACCUUGGUGAGUCAGCUCUGCACUCAGUGCUUCCUCGUAUCCCCCCAGGAUCCUGCGCAUUGCCUUCUGAGCCCAUUCUCUCUUGUGUUAAACAGUGGGUAAGCAUGUUCUCCUAAAUCUCCCUGGGUCUUCUAUCCAUCUGUGACACCCUGUACACCAAUGUGACUGUGGCAGACUCCCCAAGAGAGUCUCUCAUUCCAGUAUCUUGACAGAUGAAGCUUGGAGAGGCUGAGGGACAAGUCCAAGGGGCUGCAGGAAAGGAACGGUCCUGGUCCAGAUGAGAAGGAGAGCAGGCCAAGGAGGCAGCACCAUCAACAGGCGGCCCAGCCCCCUGACUCCACUUUGUGGAAGCCCACCUUUGGCAAGCGUCCACGGGCAGACAGGCCACAGGAGAGGCGGGGAUAAAAAUAGCAGCUCAGCUGAGCGUCUGCCAUGUGCCAGCCACUCUUGAGAAGCACAUCAAAAAUCAGCUCAUCCAAGCCUCAGCUCCCCACGGUGGAGGUGCUGUCACGCCUCUGUCUCGCCGCAGGAAGACUGACAACCAACCGUGCAGCCAGCAAGAAGCACGCGGUUACCUCGUCCAGCACCACGACAAACGCCUGGUGUGUUACCCACAUCCUAAGAGAAUGAAGGUUGUUUGGGCUCACAGUUCAGACUCGUAGAUAAGCAGCACGUGCUGAGGGCGAGCACAGCGGAGCAAGGCUGCUCAGAAGCUCGUGACCCAGAAAUCAAAACUGAGAAGAGGAAGAGACAGCACUGGAAGGAGGCCUCAGGAUCGACACAUGAGGACAAACCCACUCUGAGCAUCUCCCACCAGGCCUCAGUUUUUAAGGUUUCUGCCAUUGCUGCCUGUGAGUGGUGCCAGGCCCCCCCCCCCUCUCUCUCU